Molecule: long non-coding RNA, 400 nt
Filed under: Lathyrus oleraceus (garden pea)
Lineage: Eukaryota; Viridiplantae; Streptophyta; Magnoliopsida; Fabales; Fabaceae
Description: Pisum sativum (pea) long non-coding RNA (PSAT_LNC001982)
Source: RNAcentral
GAGAUAUGAAAGGCUCGGAAAGAAAAAAAAAAAAAAAAAAGAAAAGAAAAAAUGCACUUACCGAGACCUUAGAGUCCAACAGAUAUGAAAUGCUCGGAAAGUUGAGUAGAAAAAGAGUCAAAAGAGUUUUUACCCCAAAAAUAUAUGUGAUGCACAGGAAAAGAAGAAAAAGUACACAAUAUGAUUACCGAGUUCAAAACCCUUUGUUACCCAAUUUUUGUUUAUCCCACCGUACCCAAGCCCCGUUACAACCUAAAAAGACCUCAAAAAGUGUGUGAAAUCUGCUGUGGUAAUGACAUUAGAAUGUGUUCAAAGUUAAGAGUCUGAUACUGUAUACUGUGCUGUGAGUGUACACACCUAACCCCGAGAGAUAUUGUGAGUGAGUGAAAAGCUUGCAGGU